UACGUAGGGGGCGAGCGUUGUCCGGAAUUACUGGGCGUAAAGGGCGUGUAGGCGGCUGAUUAAGUCAGGUGUGAAAGGCCACGGCUCAACCGUGGUAUUGCACAUGAAACUGGUCGGCUUGAGUGCAGGAGAGGGAAGUGGAAUUCCUAGUGUAGCGGUGAAAUGCGUAGAUAUUAGGAGGAACACCAGUGGCGAAGGCGACUUUCUGGACUGUAACUGACGCUCAUGCACGAAAGCGUGGGGAU
Molecule: ribosomal RNA, 245 nt
Filed under: uncultured Eubacteriales bacterium
Lineage: Bacteria; Bacillati; Bacillota; Clostridia; Eubacteriales
Description: uncultured Clostridiales bacterium partial 16S ribosomal RNA
Rfam family: Bacterial small subunit ribosomal RNA
Source: RNAcentral